CAUGUAGGCGGUUUCUUAAGUCGGAUGUGAAAGCUCCUGGCUCAACUAGGAGAGGUCAUUCGAAACUAGGAAACUAGAGGGUGGUAGAGGAGAGUGGAAUUCCCGGUGUAGUGGUGAAAUGCGUAGAUAUCGGGAGGAACACCAGUGGCGAAAGCGGCUCUCUGGGCCACACCUGACGCUGAGAUGCGAAAGCUAGGGGAGAGAACG
Molecule: ribosomal RNA, 207 nt
Filed under: uncultured bacterium
Lineage: Bacteria
Description: partial 16S ribosomal RNA
Rfam family: Bacterial small subunit ribosomal RNA
Source: RNAcentral